GAUGAAGAACGAAGCGAAAUGCGAUACGUAAUGUGAAUUGCAGAAUUCAGUGAAUCAUCAAAUCUUUGAACGCAUAUUGCGCUCUCUGGUAUUCCGGAGAGCAUGCUUGUUUGAGUAUCAGUAAACACCUCAACUUCCAUAUAUUUUUUGAAAUGGGAGUUGGACUUGAGUGAUCCCAACGCUUUUCCUCACCGAAAAGUGGCGGGUUACUUGAAAUGCAGGUGCAGCUGGACUUUUCUCUGAGCUAUAAGCAUAUCUAUUUAGUCUGCCUAAAAAACAGAUUAUUACCUUUGCUGCAGCUAACAUAAAGGAGAUUAGUUCUUGUGCUGACUGAUGCAGGAUUCACAAAGACGGCUUCGGCCGACUUUGUAAACUCGAUCUCAAAUCAAGUAAGACUACCCGCUGAACUUAAGCAUAUCAAUAAGCGGAGGA
RNAcentral lists this unclassified non-coding RNA (432 nucleotides) under soil metagenome. Its description in RNAcentral is "partial contains 5.8S ribosomal RNA, internal transcribed spacer 2, and large subunit ribosomal RNA". The stretch from base 1 to 120 matches the Rfam family "5.8S ribosomal RNA", at positions 35 to 154 of the family's 154-position model. The record is from RNAcentral.